RNAcentral lists this long non-coding RNA (743 nucleotides) under Sus scrofa (pig). RNAcentral describes it as "lncRNA (ENSSSCG00035014086.1)". Lineage: Eukaryota; Metazoa; Chordata; Mammalia; Artiodactyla; Suidae. The record is from RNAcentral.
CGCCUGCCGCCACCCACCCAACUCCUUUCCUCCUCGUCUCCUCUCCCAACCAUCCUGCGGCACCUAGAACGGCGAUUCUGCUCCAGCCCCAGGCAGAUGGAUCGUCACCGCGGGUGUGGAGUCUCCGCAGGAUGUCACCGCACUCUGCAGAAGCUCAUCACGCACUCGGGCGUUUGUAACUCCCAGGCCAUGGCGUCCCGGCGGACCGAAUGGGCAGAGCCCGCAGGAAGCAUCCGGGCCGUGGGGGUUGUGGAGGGCGGAAGGCACCAGCGGGUCUUGGGGCCGUGGAAAUGGAGCCCCCCCGCCAUCCCCCCCACCCCCCGCAGGAAGGGCCUGAAAAAUUCACCUGCUGUUCCAUGGGUAAGCCCCUCGUUAAAACGGAGCCUUUGGGGGUGUCAGCAGAGUGGGGUGUCUGGAAGGGCCCCAGGCUCAGACCCCUUGGGUGGCACUUUUGCUCCCUCCCUGUGCGGCUCUAAACAGCUGACCUCUCUGUUAUAAAGGCCACUUUGCAGAGCUGGGGAGACCACAACAGACCAGGCAUGGGGCCGAGCUGGGCGUGCCAACCUGGAGUAAAACGCCAGGGCCUGCCUCCUGGGUCGGCAAACUCAGCAGGGAGCCCCGCAGAAAAGGCCCUGGGCCACGCCAGGACCUGGGUCUAGGCUACCCUCUGCGGUGAGGCUGGGAGCAGGGGUGUGACUUGUGGGACCUUGGCUGCUGUGUCCACACAGCUGGUCUCUAAGGGU